GUUGUUAUUCUUUUUCCAGCCAGACUGCUGAGUUUACUGCAGCUGGGGAUUUGUACCACUGCUUGCUUCUGGAGGGACUGGAAAGUUGUAGGAGUCUUACCUGAUGGCUUUAUCCAGUUCCUAUUUUGCCUUUAUCCUACGUUAUGCUAACUUCUGUCCUCCCUGCAUUCCUUCCUGUUCUAGGAAUGCAUCUGUCUUGAGACUGGAAACGUGAGAACAAGAUCUCCAGAUGAUAUAUUACCUGGAAAAUUUCCUACAGUGCCUUUCACUUGAUUAUCUCAGAGUGCUUUAGUAGGCUUAGAAGGUGCUGAGGAACAAUAAAUACAGAAGAGAAGCUGUGCUGUAAAUCUUACAGCAUGUAUUUCUGUGAAAGCCUUUUCUUACUCUCUUUUAUCCAGGCAUCAAAUGGAAAAGAACAAGAGGAAGAUGAAGGCUGAGGCUCAGGCCCAACAUUUUUCUCUGUCACUUUUGUGAAAGAAAAGAAUGUCCUGUCUCCAUAAGGACUGUACCUGGCCUUGGCUGGUGGGUCACCUCCCUGGUCUCCGUUCACCCCCAGGACAUUAACCUGUGAUGAAACUCCACUGAUGCAGAGCUGGGGGAUCCUGUGUGAGAAGCUCAGAGAUGGAUUGCUGUGUCCAACGCUGCUCCUGCUGCAGAAAUACAGCCCUGCCGUGCUGCUGGAGACCUUUUGGCACCUCUUGGACCAGGUGAAGAAAAACCAAGCACCAACGGGGUGAGGGUCCCAGGUGGUUAGAUGUUUGCUGUUGCAGCUACAGAACUCACAUGAAGCUCCCUACGUGGCAAGUCGCAACCAAAGCAAGGUUCACAAACCUCUAUAUUAGGUUUGGCAGCUUUAGUACACAGCCUGUGGCCUGUUCCUGG
Molecule: long non-coding RNA, 882 nt
Filed under: Calidris pugnax (ruff)
Lineage: Eukaryota; Metazoa; Chordata; Aves; Charadriiformes; Scolopacidae
Description: lncRNA (ENSCPUG00000015688.1)
Source: RNAcentral